Molecule: ribosomal RNA, 448 nt
Filed under: Hansenula anomala
Lineage: Eukaryota; Fungi; Ascomycota; Saccharomycetes; Phaffomycetales; Wickerhamomycetaceae
Description: eukaryotic LSU rRNA
Rfam family: Eukaryotic large subunit ribosomal RNA
Source: RNAcentral
AAUUUGAAGAUGGUAACCUUGGGUUUGGCUCUUGUCUAUGUUCCUUGGAACAGGACGUCAUAGAGGGUGAGAAUCCCGUCUGAUGAGAUGCCCAUUCCUAUGUAAGGUGCUAUCGAAGAGUCGAGUUGUUUGGGAAUGCAGCUCUAAGUGGGUGGUAAAUUCCAUCUAAAGCUAAAUAUUGGCGAGAGACCGAUAGCGAACAAGUACAGUGAUGGAAAGAUGAAAAGAACUUUGAAAAGAGAGUGAAAAAGUACGUGAAAUUGUUGAAAGGGAAGGGCAUUAGAUCAGACUUGGUGUUUUACGAUUAUCUUCUCUUCUUGAGUUGUGCACUCGUAUUUCACUGGGCCAGCAUCGAUUCGGAUGGCAAGAUAAUGGCAGUUGAAUGUGGCUUCACUUCGGUGGAGUGUUAUAGCUUCUGCUGAUAUUGCCUGUCUGGAUCGAGGGCUGC